UACGUAGGUGGCAAGCGUUGUCCGGAAUUAUUGGGCGUAAAGCGUGCGUAGGCGGAUCAGUCAGUCUGUUUUAAAAGUCCGGGGCUUAACCCCGUGAUGGGAUGGAAACUGCUGAUCUAGAGUAUCGGAGAGGAAAGUGGAAUUCCUAGUGUAGCGGUGAAAUGCGUAGAUAUUAGGAAGAACACCAGUGGCGAAGGCGACUUGCUGGACGAAAACUGACGCUGAGGCACGAAAGCGUGGGGAGCAAACGGG
RNAcentral lists this ribosomal RNA (252 nucleotides) under uncultured bacterium. RNAcentral describes it as "partial 16S ribosomal RNA". It matches the Rfam family "Bacterial small subunit ribosomal RNA", at positions 524 to 776 of the family's 1533-position model. The record is from RNAcentral.